This 497-nucleotide ribosomal RNA is filed under the name uncultured bacterium. Its description in RNAcentral is "partial 16S ribosomal RNA". It matches the Rfam family "Bacterial small subunit ribosomal RNA", at positions 28 to 523 of the family's 1533-position model. The record is from RNAcentral.
GAUGAACGCUGGCGGCGUGCUUAACACAUGCAAGUCGAACGAAGCACUCUAUUUGAUUUUCUUCGGAAAUGAAGAUUUUGUGACUGAGUGGCGGACGGGUGAGUAACGCGUGGGUAACCUGCCUCAUACAGGGGGAUAACAGUUGGAAACGACUGCUAAUACCGCAUAAGCGCACAGUAUCGCAUGAUACAGGGUGAAAAACUCCGGUGGUAUGAGAUGGACCCGCGUCUGAUUAGCUAGUUGGUGGGGCAACGGCCUACCAAGGCGACGAUCAGUAGCCGACCUGAGAGGGUGACCGGCCACAUUGGGACUGAGACACGGCCCAAACUCCUACGGGAGGCAGCAGUGGGGAAUAUUGCACAAUGGGGGAAACCCUGAUGCAGCGACGCCGCGUGAACGAAGAAGUAUUUCGGUAUGUAAAGUUCUAUCAGCAGGGAAGAUAAUGACGGUACCUGACUAAGAAGCACCGGCUAAAUACGUGCCAGCCGCCGCCGUAA